GCGCCCCCAUCGGCGAGUAGCGCAGCUUGGUAGCGCAACUGGUUUGGGACCAGUGGGUCGGAGGUUCGAAUCCUCUCUCGCCGACC
This 86-nucleotide transfer RNA is filed under the name Penicillium salamii. RNAcentral describes it as "tRNA-Pro". The stretch from base 11 to 84 matches the Rfam family "tRNA". Rfam says of the family: Transfer RNA (tRNA) molecules are approximately 80 nucleotides in length. Their secondary structure includes four short double-helical elements and three loops (D, anti-codon, and T loops). Lineage: Eukaryota; Fungi; Ascomycota; Eurotiomycetes; Eurotiales; Aspergillaceae. The record is from RNAcentral.